RNAcentral lists this ribosomal RNA (603 nucleotides) under Triticum aestivum (bread wheat). RNAcentral's name for it is "partial small subunit ribosomal RNA". Lineage: Eukaryota; Viridiplantae; Streptophyta; Magnoliopsida; Poales; Poaceae. The record is from RNAcentral.
AUGGCGGAGGCGACGCUGGAGGGGAGCGAGCCGGUGGAUCUGUCCAAGCACCCCUCCGGCAUCAUCCCCACGCUCCAGAAUAUCGUGUCAACUGUCAAUUUGGAUUGUAAGUUAGACCUCAAAGCAAUAGCUCUGCAAGCACGUAACGCAGAAUAUAAUCCAAAGCGUUUUGCUGCAGUUAUCAUGAGAAUAAGAGAACCAAAAACUACAGCACUGAUAUUCGCGUCGGGUAAAAUGGUAUGUACUGGAGCAAAGAGCGAACAACAAUCCAAGCUUGCAGCAAGAAAGUAUGCUCGUAUCAUUCAGAAACUUGGCUUUCCAGCUAAAUUCAAGGAUUUUAAGAUUCAGAAUAUCGUUGGCUCCUGUGAUGUUAAAUUUCCAAUUAGACUGGAGGGCCUUGCAUAUUCUCAUGGUGCUUUCUCAAGUUAUGAGCCGGAACUUUUUCCUGGUCUGAUCUAUCGAAUGAAGCAACCGAAGAUUGUUCUUCUGAUUUUUGUUUCAGGCAAGAUUGUCUUGACCGGGGCAAAGGUGAGAGAAGAGACAUACACUGCCUUUGAAAAUAUAUAUCCUGUACUCACAGAGUUCAGAAAAGUUCAGCAAUGA